GGGGGUUUAGCUCAGCUGGCUAGAGCACCUGCCUUGCACGCAGGGGGUCAUCGGUUCGAAUCCGAUAUCCUCCA
This 74-nucleotide transfer RNA is filed under the name Bacteroidales bacterium. RNAcentral describes it as "tRNA-Ala". It matches the Rfam family "tRNA". From Rfam's summary of the family: Transfer RNA (tRNA) molecules are approximately 80 nucleotides in length. Their secondary structure includes four short double-helical elements and three loops (D, anti-codon, and T loops). Further hydrogen bonds mediate the characteristic L-shaped molecular structure. tRNAs have two regions of fundamental functional importance: the anti-codon, which is responsible for specific mRNA codon recognition, and the 3' end, to which the tRNAs corresponding amino acid is attached (by aminoacyl-tRNA synthetases). tRNAs cope with the degeneracy of the genetic code in two manners: having more than one tRNA (with a specific anti-codon) for a particular amino acid; and 'wobble' base-pairing, i.e. permitting non-standard base-pairing at the 3rd anti-codon position. RNAcentral also lists the same sequence under 1 other name. Lineage: Bacteria; Pseudomonadati; Bacteroidota; Bacteroidia; Bacteroidales. The record is from RNAcentral.